RNAcentral lists this ribosomal RNA (946 nucleotides) under uncultured bacterium. Its description in RNAcentral is "bacterial SSU rRNA". It matches the Rfam family "Bacterial small subunit ribosomal RNA", at positions 48 to 1003 of the family's 1533-position model. The record is from RNAcentral.
UUAACACAUGCAAGUCGAACGGUGAAGCCCAGCUUGCUGGGUGGAUCAGUGGCGAACGGGUGAGUAACACGUGAGUAACCUGCCCCUGACUCUGGGAUAAGCCUUGGAAACGAGGUCUAAUACCGGAUACGUGACGCUCAGGCAUCUGAUGCGUCUGGAAAGAUUUAUCGGUCAGGGAUGGACUCGCGGCCUAUCAGCUUGUUGGUGGGGUAACGGCCCACCAAGGCGACGACGGGUAGCCGGCCUGAGAGGGCGACCGGCCACACUGGGACUGAGACACGGCCCAGACUCCUACGGGAGGCAGCAGUGGGGAAUAUUGCACAAUGGGCGCAAGCCUGAUGCAGCGACGCCGCGUGAGGGAUGAAGGCCUUCGGGUUGUAAACCUCUUUCAGCAGGGAAGAAGCGCAAGUGACGGUACCUGCAGAAGAAGCGCCGGCUAACUACGUGCCAGCAGCCGCGGUAAUACGUAGGGCGCAAGCGUUGUCCGGAAUUAUUGGGCGUAAAGAGCUCGUAGGCGGUUUGUCGCGUCUGCUGUGAAAACUCGAGGCUCAACCUCGGGCUUGCAGUGGGUACGGGCAGACUAGAGUGCGGUAGGGGAGACUGGAAUUCCUGGUGUAGCGGUGGAAUGCGCAGAUAUCAGGAGGAACACCGAUGGCGAAGGCAGGUCUCUGGGCCGCAACUGACGCUGAGGAGCGAAAGCAUGGGGAGCGAACAGGAUUAGAUACCCUGGUAGUCCAUGCCGUAAACGUUGGGCACUAGGUGUGGGGCUCAUUCCACGAGUUCCGUGCCGCAGCAAACGCAUUAAGUGCCCCGCCUGGGGAGUACGGCCGCAAGGCUAAAACUCAAAGAAAUUGACGGGGGCCCGCACAAGCGGCGGAGCAUGCGGAUUAAUUCGAUGCAACGCGAAGAACCUUACCAAGGCUUGACAUACACCGGAAACUUCCAG